Molecule: ribosomal RNA, 98 nt
Filed under: Mariprofundus sp.
Lineage: Bacteria; Pseudomonadati; Pseudomonadota; Candidatius Mariprofundia; Mariprofundales; Mariprofundaceae
Description: partial 23S ribosomal RNA
Rfam family: Bacterial large subunit ribosomal RNA
Source: RNAcentral
UGAAGGGCCGUGGAAGACUACCACGUUGAUAGGCUGGGUGUGGAAGUGUAGCAAUACAUGGAGCUGACCAGUACUAAUUGCCCGUGAGGCUUAACCAU